GCCCAAAGUGGGUGGUAAACUCCAUCCAAGGCUAAAUACUAACACGAGUCCGAUAGCGAACAAGUACCGUGAGGGAAAGUUGAAAAGUACUUUGAAGAGAGAGUAAACAGUACGUGAAACCGCUCAGAGGUAAACGGGUGGAGUUGAACUGUGAUCUCUGUGAAUUUAGCUGGUGAACGUGGUUUGAACUUGGUCAAAUUGGUUGUUAUUUGGGGUCUGCUUAGCUGCAGGUCUCCGCCUAUGGUGGAGAUGCGCGAGGCACUUAUCAGGUGUUGCGCGCCUCAGGUGAAUCGGACCAGUUCGCCAGUGCAUUUUCACAGAGUGUUCACCACGACCGGCAUCGCUGUCCGGCUGGUAUGGUUAAACCGGUCUUGCAUUGUCCUCGUGGCUUUGCUUGGUCGGGAUGGCAGGUAGCUCUUGGGCUUGCUCGCAGUUCGCUGUGGGUUCAGGUCCUUGAGUGUAAACAGCUGACCGUAUCGGUUCUGUGCAGUAUGUCGGAGACGGCGGCUUGUGGUGUGUGCGUGCGUGCCAGUUGGCUGGCGAGUCCGGGUUUGGUUGUUAUGUUGCCUGUGUUGGCAGGCCUAAUGAUAACUCGGAUUCUUUCGGCUGACGGUUGCGUGCGUGUCACUUUCCAGGGCCAAUAGUCCUGUGGUUUCCAUGG
Molecule: ribosomal RNA, 661 nt
Filed under: Haplorchis pumilio
Lineage: Eukaryota; Metazoa; Platyhelminthes; Trematoda; Opisthorchiida; Heterophyidae
Description: eukaryotic LSU rRNA
Rfam family: Eukaryotic large subunit ribosomal RNA
Source: RNAcentral